GAUGAACGCUGGCGGCGUGCCUAAUACAUGCAAGUCGAGCGAACGGACGAGAAGCUUGCUUUUCUGAUGUUAGCGGCGGACGGGUGAGUAACACGUGGAUAACCUACCUAUAAGACUGGGAUAACUUCGGGAAACCGGAGCUAAUACCGGAUAAUAUUUUGAACCGCAUGGUUCAAAAGUGAAAGACGGUCUUGCUGUCACUUAUAGAUGGAUCCGCGCUGCAUUAGCUAGUUGGUAAGGUAACGGCUUACCAAGGCAACGAUGCAUAGCCGACCUGAGAGGGUGAUCGGCCACACUGGAACUGAAACACGGUCCAGACUCCUACGGGAGGCAGCAGUAGGGAAUCUUCCGCAAAGGGCGAAAGCCUGACGGAGCAACGCCGCGUGAGUGAUGAAGGUCUUCGGAUCGUAAAACUCUGUUAUUAGGGAAGAACAUAUGUGUAAGUAACUGUGCACAUCUUGACGGUACCUAAUCAGAAAGCCACGGCUAACUACGUG
Molecule: ribosomal RNA, 497 nt
Filed under: uncultured bacterium
Lineage: Bacteria
Description: partial 16S ribosomal RNA
Rfam family: Bacterial small subunit ribosomal RNA
Source: RNAcentral